Trachemys scripta elegans is the source of this 1889-nucleotide long non-coding RNA. RefSeq lists it as uncharacterized. The record is from RefSeq and is a predicted model, not a curated record. Lineage: Eukaryota; Metazoa; Chordata; Testudines; Emydidae. The transcript has 3 exons.
UUCGCACCUUCUGAUGGCGGAGCCCUCGGCCCCUUGGCCAUUUUCUCCCCACACCCCUCCAAGCCAGGACCUGGCGGGUGCCCUGAGAGCUGGGGUGCCUGCGCGUUGCCUGGAUUGCAAGAGCUGGCCCUGAACGGAGAUCCCCGGCAAUCAGUAACAGGGCAGUAAGGUCACCAGUGGGCAGCACUGAAUUCCUGCUCCCUGAGGGGAAGCUGAACCUUUAUUUCCCUGCUAUGCACAAUCCUGUUUGUUUCCUUCAUCUCUGAUCUGAAUUUUCCCCUGCCAUUGCCCUGAAUUCUUGGUGUCUCAUCCUAUGAACUUCCAGGAGUGAAACCCUCUGUCGCUGGCAAAGCCUAUGGCUGCGCCCACCACUCAUUUCCAUUUCUCUAGGGCAGGACAACAAGCUUCUCUCAGUUCUUAAGCCACCCCUUCCUUCUGAUACAAGUUUGAUUCCCAAAAGCCUUCUGGCUACCAUUAAUCUUUUCAAACCAACGGUCGCGUCUUAACCAUCUCCUUUCCUCUUACUAAUUAGGGUCACCACCUCUGAGAUGCAGAGAAACGGGCCACUGCCCUGCCUAUCACCGGCCAGACCUCCUUUCCCCUCUCUGGCAUUCGUGAACACACACCAGCCCAAUCUUCCUUUUCCCUUCUUAGGUGCCCACCCCCAGACUGACCCCCAGCCCAUAAGCCCCCACAUCUAUGCCUUCCCAGGAGCCUCUGCCUCCCCCACCCUGGUCCCCACUGUUUCCUGCUCCGUAAUAGCAAGCCUUGGGUCCAUCUGUCCUGCUUCACAAUCCCAUCUUUCUCACUUCCCAGUGCCAGGAGGAGCGGGAGCCUCAGCCACCACGGUUUGGGCAUACUGAGGGACCAGCGCACAGAGCAGGACUUGGAUGCGGCACUCCCAUCCAUGUGACGUAUGUGGUAGUUAGAAGUUUGCAGCACAGCCAGUUGUGCUGCUGCAUGUGUGAAUAGCUGACAGAUGAGAGAAAAUACAAAAUAAAAACAUAGCAACCAGCAAGGCAAUAGAAAAACCAUCCAAACCAGUCGGAAACUGGCUAGGUAGCAACCCUGUUACUAAUAUAACACAUCAUUACUUAUGGAAUAACAACUGCCAACACUUGGAAAGAACUUUUCACCUGAAGGACUAGAAGUACUUCACAAACAGUGUAACUGAUUGGAACUGUUCAUCAAGGCAUAAUAUCUCAGAUCUGUUGGCCCCUGUAUGAUGAGAGGGAGUAAAAAGCAAUACAAAUGUACUUAAAGUCAGCAGAUAUGACUGUCUACACAGAAAGAGCUGCAUUUUUGUUGUACAAGAUUAUGUGUGAUAAACAUUUUUCACAUGUAUGAUUUGGAUGUGGGCUGUCACAGCGCUAUCUUGGUAUUUUACUAAUCUCCAUUUACAAUUUACGAUCUCCCAUUACAAUCUGCAUUCAGAUUACAAAGAACAUCAUCAGCAUUACCAGAUCUUGUGAUAUUUCACAUAUUUUAAAGUCCCAGCUCCUGGAGGCAACUAAUUACGUGAGGAUCUCAGUUUCCUUUAAAAAAGUAAGUUUCUCCUCCUGGUGGAGGAGAAAAGCCUGAAUAAAUCACCUGUGUGCACUCUAAAGGCUCAAUAACCGGAAGGCAAAAUAAAAAAAAUCUCAUGAUUUUUGAGGCCUUACUCCUGAUUCUUGAAUGCUUGGGCUUGACAGUACUGCACUAGAAAUACAGAGAGCACUUGUUAUGAAUUGAGAUGAACUUUGUAGCAUAGUUUAAGUAAUUGCUCCCUCUGGUGGCUGUCACACUAUAAAUUUAUAGAUUUGUUUUUUAACCAAAAUCUCUGUGUAGCUCAUUGAGCAAGGUGCCUGCCUGAUUUGGAUACGAAAGCACUUUACAGUUAACAUUUUUGU